GGCAACUGACGUCGCCUCCCACCUCCGCAGGCGCGGCGAGCCCCGCCGCCAAGGACAAAAGAGCGGCAGCGGCAGGAACUUUGAUCCGGUUGCGUAGUGCCCUGAUCUGGAACCGACCGCUCUCGUUGGAGACUCCAGUACACGAGAUCGAGCCAGGAGACCAGGUCUACGUUCGUGAUUGGAGCGAGGAACCACUUAAGGAACGGUGGAAUGGACCGUACCUGGUGCUGCUAACUACCUUCACCGCUGUAAAAGUGGAAGGAAUUGACUCCUGGAUUCACUACACUAGAGUGAAGAAAGUCCCGAAACAUUGUCGAAUCAGAAGCCUUAGGACCUACGAAACUGAGGCUGAAAUGCAGAUAAGAUGUCGUGUUAUAUGUAUAGCACUUUAAUUGUGAUUUGGUCAGUCUUACCUAUAAUAAUUGUUGGUUCCUUAGAAGAAAAGGGAGGUGGUGACGUAUGUUGUUGGACAAAAUGCCACUCUGUCUUGCAGGUUUACCAUGCCAAUGGGAGGAGAACUAAUAAGGGUUAUCUGGGAAAAGGAAUCGGAAAAUUUUGAAGCACCUGAGAUAAUUUUUGACAGCAAGGACAAAGGAUUAGUAGGGCAUGAGCAGGAGUUGCAGGAAAAUUGGCAAUCUAGAAGUAAAGUAAUGAACAGGUUCUGUUCACGAAAUCUUACUGAAGGAGAGACUAAAUUAAGGAUAGCCAAUCUGACUGAACAAAUGCGGGGAAAAUAUCGUUGUCUGGUCAAGACAAACAAUAGUGCAGACUACGGUGAGAAGAUAAUAUACAUUACUAAAACUAGAGUCAGACGAGCUAUAAAACCGACCGAAUCACCCCAGAUAAUUCAAGUACCCCAACGUGAUCCGGAGGAAAACCUAAUGAUAGGAUUAAUCAAGGAUUUCGCAAAAAUGCAAAAUACGAGUAGAAUAACGGCAUGCCUCCCAAUACCAAAAGCAGCUGGAGAACCAAUUGAGUGGGGAAUAAUAACAAUACCAUUCCCAGAAGGAAACGAGACAGUUAAGUGUCAGGAAAA
Molecule: long non-coding RNA, 1036 nt
Filed under: Strigops habroptila (Kakapo)
Lineage: Eukaryota; Metazoa; Chordata; Aves; Psittaciformes; Psittacidae
Description: lncRNA (ENSSHBG00005008044.1)
Source: RNAcentral